Molecule: long non-coding RNA, 673 nt
Filed under: Centruroides sculpturatus (bark scorpion)
Lineage: Eukaryota; Metazoa; Arthropoda; Arachnida; Scorpiones; Buthidae
Description: uncharacterized LOC111618333, transcript variant X1
Source: RNAcentral
UUUAAAAAAUGUACAAAUUACACAACCUGAUAUUGAUAUACAGAUAUCCCCCGUAGUAAUAUCUUCGUUUCUAAAUAAAUACAUAUUAUUGAUCUUUUAUAUUUCUUGUGUAUACAAAAAUUGUUUAUAAACAAUUAUCAUAUUUGUUUUAUUAUUAUUAUUAUUUCCUUCAAUUAAGGAGCCCAAAAAUAAAAUCUUUCACAGGGCAGAUGAAAAACUAGUUGCGAUACUGAUGUUGGUUCCUAUCCCUCACCACCCGGCCACCCCAUUGUGGCUUGGUCGAACCCACGAUAGAUGUAAACGGAUACGUAACCAAAAAUUCAUACAAAACCAAAUAGCUUGACUCCGAAAGGAAAGGAACUUUAAACGUAGCGAUUCGUUAUUCAUAGAGGAAGGAUUAAGAUCACUUUUAAGAUUACAGAAAGAAAUUAGGUGGGCAGAAAACAAGAAGAGAAGUAUGAUAAGAUUAUACUGUGUAGUGCGUAAUUUGGAGGCAUCGUAUUAAGUGUGAAGUGGAACACAGGUUUGUCCCAAAUUUGACAUCUGGUCACAGUACAUUGCCAAAAUGUUUUGCCAACAAAUGUAGUUGAUAGUUUUUAAGGCAAUAGAAAUAAAAUUUCUACGUUAACGAAAGAAGCUGUGUUCGGACAUACGUCUAAGAAUCUAUCUUCGA